GACGAACGCUGGCGGCGUGCUUAACACAUGCCAGUCGAACGGAAAGGCCCUGCUUGCAGGGUACUCGAGUGGCGAACGGGUGAGUAACACGUGGGUGCUCUGCCCUGCACUUCGGGAUAAGCCUGGAAAACUGGGUCUAAUACCGGAUAGGAGCCAUUUUUAGUGUGAUGGUUGGAAAGUUUUUUCGGUGUAGGAUGAGCUCGCGGCCUAUCAGCUUGUUGGUGGGGUAAUGGCCUACCAAGGCGGCGACGGGGAGCCGGCCCGAGAGGGUGGACGGCCACAUUGGGACUGAGAGACGGCCCAGACUCCUACGGGAGGAAGCAGUGGGGAAUAUUGGACAAAGGGCGCAAGGCUGAGGCAGCGACGCCGCGUGGGGGAGGACUGCCUUGGGGUUGUAAACGGAUUUCGCGAGGGACGAAGCGGUUUGUGACGGUACCUAGAGAAGAAGCACCGGCUAACUACGUG
Molecule: ribosomal RNA, 465 nt
Filed under: uncultured bacterium
Lineage: Bacteria
Description: partial 16S ribosomal RNA
Rfam family: Bacterial small subunit ribosomal RNA
Source: RNAcentral